UUAGCUCAUAUUUGUAUGGAAUGGGAUCGUUUGCCUACGUUUACCGCUAGGGGCGCUGUUCCAACUGCAUACAAAAUUGGGUUA
This 84-nucleotide microRNA precursor is filed under the name Bombyx mori (domestic silkworm). RNAcentral's name for it is "mir-2807 microRNA precursor family". It matches the Rfam family "mir-2807 microRNA precursor family". Lineage: Eukaryota; Metazoa; Arthropoda; Insecta; Lepidoptera; Bombycidae. The record is from Rfam by way of RNAcentral.